Molecule: long non-coding RNA, 587 nt
Organism: Mytilus californianus (California mussel)
Lineage: Eukaryota; Metazoa; Mollusca; Bivalvia; Mytilida; Mytilidae
Exons: 2
Source: RefSeq, a predicted model, not a curated record
ACAGCUAGGAGAGUAGCUUACUCUUGAUACAUAAGUAAUAAAAUUUCAGUUACUGUGUAUAAUUGUUUAACAUCAUACUUGCAUUAAGUUUUUUACUUUCAGAUGUAAAAGAUAUUUUGUGUUCUAAUAGUACUUCUCUCUGAAGACAAUAGUUGGUUAUGGCUGUGGUUAAUAAUCAGGAUACCAAAGUUAAAGAAAGGAGAUAUGUUUCUUUGUGGUGAAAGUGCAAGAAAUAACACCAUAUUCUGACUUACAAAAUGAUCACUCAUACUGCAUGCAAUACAGGGAAAGGCAUCAAACCAAGCCUCUAGAAUACAUACAUUUGUAGAAUGUAUUUUCUAUGAUGUACACAUCGCAGAGGAUACUUUAUGUUCCAAAAAUUCAAAUACAAAUUGUGUCAGCUCCUGUGACAAACUUAAGACGGAAGUUAACCAGAGUAUGAAAUCACCAUUAUCAAUAUGUAAAUUCCAACCAGUGACUAUAUAUUUAUUCAAAUAGUGUCAUGAAUGGAAUUAAAAAAGGACUUGGAAAAUUAACAUGUUUUAAUAUUGCUUUGUGUGUUAAUAAAAUUUGUCAGCAAGAACAAA